AUACAUACGUUUAUGGGGUUCGAAGAGGAUCACUGAAAAGGGGUGGAGGAGUUUAAAUAAAUCGAAUCCUUUUGCUACGAGUUAUCACAUUGAAUUGUAUUCAUGUAAAAAAACAAGGAGAAAGAUAAUAGAUGUAGAAGAGGGAGAGGGAGGGGUGGAGGGGUGAUUGGAAAAUCGGAAAAUUUGUUUGUUCAUCGUUCGUUCGUUCGUUCGUUCGUUCGUUCGUACGAUAAUUUCUACGAAAUAUUUGUUUUAUUU
Long non-coding RNA from Polistes canadensis, 258 nucleotides. RefSeq lists it as uncharacterized. Lineage: Eukaryota; Metazoa; Arthropoda; Insecta; Hymenoptera; Vespidae. The transcript has 3 exons. The record is from RefSeq and is a predicted model, not a curated record.